RNAcentral lists this long non-coding RNA (2014 nucleotides) under Homo sapiens (human). RNAcentral's name for it is "HSALNT0337951". Lineage: Eukaryota; Metazoa; Chordata; Mammalia; Primates; Hominidae. The record is from RNAcentral.
GGGUAGGAAAAAGCCCCACACCAUUCAUGAUGUUAACAAUAGCAGCAUUAACAGUCAUUGGACUCCCACCGAGUGUGUUAUUCUUUAAAUUAGAACCCAUGAAUAUAAUGAGAUGGAUUUUCACAGGAACAAGGGCAGGCUGAAACAAAGAGAUAAAGAAACUGAGGCUCAAUGAACUUGUAACGCUUUAGUGUCAGAGCUCUAGAAUGGGUGAAGGCCAGAUUCAGACCCAGGCAUCGUGACUCCCAAGUCUGCUUGUGGAUCCUUGAAAGCAAGGGUGAGCCAUAAGCAUUGCACCUUUGAGAGAACUGCCUGCUCAACAUGAAGAUGAUGAGGAUGAAGGCCUUUAUGAUGAUCCACUUCCACUUAAUGAAGAGUCAAGGCUCAAUUGGAAUAAUCUGGAGAAGCUUUUCUACAAUGUCUACACUCCAGGGCCCACACCUGCCAAUGAAAUCUGUACCUUAAACCUGAAGAGGACCAGGUAUCAAUAUUCUUUGAAAAGCAGCCCAGAUGAUGCAGCUAGGUAGGUGUGGGAUUAACAGCACAGCCGGGAAGUUUCAAAUUGGAAGCACUUCAGAAACUGUCAUAUGCGAGAAAGAUGGUAUCUCAUUCAGACCGACCACCAUUUCCCAAAGAUUUCUCCCAGAUCACUACUUCCUCAAGAUGCCCAGAGAACAUAAUUCUGUGACCAAAUGCGUAUGAGAAAUGCUGCCAACUGCUGACUCCUAUCUUUGAGACUUAUCUACGUAGUGCUUUUAGUGCUUUUUUGUUAUGACCUUGGCUCACUGCAGCUUCACCCUCCUGGGCUCAAGCGAUCCUUCCACCUCAGCCCUUCAAGUAUCUGGGACUACAGACACCUGCCACCAUGUCUAGCUAAUUUUUGUAUUGUUUGUAGAGAUGGAGUUUCACCAUGUUGCCCAGGCUGGUCCUGGUCUGAAACUCCUGAACUCGAGUGAUUCUCCAGCCUCAGCCUCCCAAAGUGCUGAGAUGACAGGUGUGAGCCACUGUGUCUGGUCUGUAGUGCAUCUUAAUGUCUCUGAGAAAACCUGUGACCAAGAAAACUAUUACCUCGGCUUAAUCCAGUAAUUUUCCAGGAAAGCUGCUUUUUUAUUUCAUAGCACCUAACACCCUGUGGACCUCCAGAAAUGGUGAUUCACGAUGAGGAGGAAGAGUACUGAGCCCUGUCAAGGGCAGCAUUGGGUGAGGAGCCUCUCAAUUACAUGUUAGGAAGUGAAGACACCCAGACCUCGGAUUCCAAUUUUGAUGCUUCAGUUUUAAAAUGGUGGGGGGUGAGGGGCUGAUGGAGAAGAGUCUUUAUGGACACAAAUGGACCAGGGUGCUUUGACCUUUUGUUCUGUGGUCUCCUCACUUAUUAGGUCACAUAACCUUCAGUGGGCUACAUAAACCUCUUUUCUCAUCUUUAGCAGAACAAAAAUCUGUGGUCUGGGCUUAGGGGCCAGUUGGACUGGGCUUUGGUCAUUGAUUCGCGCUGGUCUUUGAAAUGUGAGUGGAAGGGACAGACAGGUGUUGAGUCCAAGCAGAAGCCUUCGAUGUUCUUGUGUGGCUUGGCUCUGCCUCUGUGCUUCUCCCUCCUCCUUGAGAACAAUAUGCCCCACAUGGGAGCUGCUCCUUUAGCCAGGCCUCCAGGACCAGAGGACAAAUGGGGCUGAGCACAACCAAGCCCAGCUGAGCCAGGUCAGGGUUCAAUGUAGCCUGAACAUGAAAUAAAUGUUUAUAAUUUUAAACCAGGAAAAUUUUGGUAUAGUUUAUUAUAACAAACUGCAAUCUAUAAACCUGAUUUGGGUCUGAUUUAAAGAAACCAAACAACCUCUAAAAAUUAGGAGGUAAACAGGAAAACUUGUACACUGACGUUAAGAAAUUGAUGUCAUUUUUUUUUACAAGAUGUUAUAGGACUGUUUCACUUGUGUUUAGGUAAAGAAUCCUUAUCUUCAGUGAUCCACGCUGAAAUACUUAUGCAUGAAACGGUAUAAUGGAAGGACAGGAAAGUGGGCAG